RNAcentral lists this ribosomal RNA (448 nucleotides) under uncultured bacterium. RNAcentral describes it as "partial 16S ribosomal RNA". It matches the Rfam family "Bacterial small subunit ribosomal RNA", at positions 29 to 523 of the family's 1533-position model. The record is from RNAcentral.
AACGAACGCUGGCGGCAUGCCUAAUACAUGCAAGUCGAACGAUCACUUCGGUGGUAGUGGCGCACGGGUGCGUAACGCGUGGGAAUCUGCCCUUGGGUUCGGAAUAACAUCUGGAAACGGAUGCUAAUACCGGAUGAUGACGUAAGUCCAAGGCUUUAUCGCCCAGGGAUGAGCCCGCGUAGGAUUAGCUAGUUGGAGGGGUAAAGGCCUACCAAGGCGACGAUCCGUAGCUGGUCUGAGAGGAUGAUCAGCCACACUGGGACUGAGACACGGCCCAGACUCCUACGGGAGGCAGCAGUAGGGAAUAUUGGACAAUGGCGAAAGCCUGAUCCAGCAAUGCCGCGUGAGUGAUGAAGGCCUUAGGGUUGUAAAGCUCUUUUACCCGGGAUGAUAAUGACAGUACCGGGAGAAUAAGCCCCGGCUAACUCCGUGCCAGCCGCCGCCGUAA